AUCUAAAUAGUUUAAGGUAAAAUAUUGGUUUGUGGUGCCAAUGAUAUAUUUAUAUAUUUUAGAUU
This 65-nucleotide transfer RNA is filed under the name Diversitermes sp. A TB-2017. RNAcentral's name for it is "tRNA-His". It matches the Rfam family "tRNA". From Rfam's summary of the family: Transfer RNA (tRNA) molecules are approximately 80 nucleotides in length. Their secondary structure includes four short double-helical elements and three loops (D, anti-codon, and T loops). The record is from RNAcentral. Lineage: Eukaryota; Metazoa; Arthropoda; Insecta; Blattodea; Termitidae. RNAcentral also lists the same sequence under 1 other name.